Molecule: long non-coding RNA, 2313 nt
Organism: Mercenaria mercenaria
Lineage: Eukaryota; Metazoa; Mollusca; Bivalvia; Venerida; Veneridae
Exons: 2
Source: RefSeq, a predicted model, not a curated record
AGAUAGGUCAAGGUCACAGUCUCCUCAGACAGACUUAAGGCUUUCGCCUACAGUAUUCUAACUAAAUACGCAGAUUGCCUGUGGUCAAUGGAUUACCCCUAUAAUUGUCUUUAAGUCAGAGGUCAAAUUCAAAGUGACCUCAAGACAGAAAAUGGUUUCCACCCUAUAACUAAAUGAAUACUCGGCCUACAGUCCUCAAACUUUAUAGUAUGAUUGCCUAUAGUCAGUAGAUGGCCCUUAUUGUUUUAAGGGUCAUUAUGUAAAAGACGAAGCAUACAACAUUACAUACCACUUGCCUCUUAUAGGUCAACACUGGGGGGCAUAUGUGCUUUACAAACGGCUCUUGUUUUAUUCUUUUAUUCCCAUUACAUAACAUUAUAAGUAACUGUACCAUGCAGAGCAAAAAAUCUUCAUACAAGACACAUUUAGUACUUGUAUUCAACCAAGACUGGAGAGUGGCAAAUAACUUUGUUUGUGACAAAGAUAUCUUAAUGAAAUUUUGCUGAACUGUCUGUUGGCCAUGGAGGGUAAAUAAUUUCACAGAACAUGUCCAGUAGGCCAGAGGGUUAGAGGGUUUCAGAGAACUUUACCAGUAGGACUAGUGGGUAAGUUAUUUAAGAUAGCUUAUCGAGUAGCCUAUGGAGGGUUAGUUGUAACAGACCAUAGAGAUCACCUCAGAUUUUAAGUGUCUCAAGAGAAGUCCUUCUUGACAGAUUUCAGUAUUACACAACAAAUGAAAACUACAUAUACACAUAUAUAUAUAUAUAUAUAUAUCUUAUAUUCUUUAUUCAGAAAUAUAAAUAAUCUUAACAAUACUAUCUAUAUCUAACUUUUAUCAAGAUGUCUUAUUCCCAUGUGUAUGAAUUUACAAAUGAAUAUACAUAUACAAUUAACAGAAAUGUACAUGAAAUAAAGUCUUGUGUCAUGGAAAAAAUCCACUCACUGAAAAAAGCCUAAUAAACUUUUAAGUAAAUAUAUUUUGAUCAUUUGACAGUUUCCAGGUAGCAGAAAUUAUUUGUAUUUCAAUUUUUAAACAGAUUACAACAACAAUGUAGAACAGUAUACAGUAAAAUUGGAAAAUUUCGUAAAAUAAAUGAUCCAUGAAGCUCGGGCUUUGUUAUAGGUAUAAUCACAGUUUAAAAUAAUGCCAUAAACUGCUAAAUAAUUUUGAAAAUAUUUUCAAAAGGGAGUGCCUUGUAAGACCAGCAAAAAUUUGAUUGUUUUCUACUUAAAUUUUAUAUCUAGACUUUACUUAUUCAUUAAAAUUCUGACUUUGUUGCUGUACACUUGUUCUAUGAACAGUAACUGUUAUUAUCUUGACUUUAUAAUGGUUACGAAAUCAGAGGAAGCCCUCUAACAGUUGAGGUCAACAUGUAAUGUCAAGGUCAUGUUGUGUAAAUCAAUGACACAACAUUUAAAGUCUGUGAUAUUAUAUCAUCUAGGUCAAUUAUACAAUGUCAGGUCAAUCAUGUAAUGUCAAGGUAAUAUACUGUAAAUCAAAAGUCAAGGUCAUUAUGAUGUAAAUCACAUUCAAACCUUGAAAAGUCAAGGCGAUAAUAUAUUGUCAGUCAUAAGAUGUAAGUCACAAUCAUAAAAUGCCAUGUAUGAAGUAAAGAUAAUACUAUAUUAAGUCGGUCGUUUGGAUGUAAGUCUCAAGUCAUAAAAAAUGAAGUCAUAAAAAAAGUUCAUAAUGUAUAAAGUCUUGGUAAUAAAUUGAGGCAGUCAUACAAUGCAUAUCAAAGACUUGAGAUGUAAAUCUGAGGUCAUAAUGUGUAAAGUCAAUGUCAUGAUGUGUAAAGUCAAGGUCAUAUGAUAUUAAGCAAGUUCUAUAAUAAUUAAGGUCAUAAGUUGUUAAGACAAGGUCAAAUAAUAAAGUCAAGAUUUAAGAAAAGUCAGGGUUUUUUCAUCCAACUGUUUCCAAAUAUGAAGCUACCUGAGCCAUUACUUGUGUUAUUCGAGAUAAAAUCAAUGACGUAUCGGUGUAAAGAACAUAUUUACAGACCCUGCUGCAUUUCUGAACUUCCUUUAAGUAAUGGUGUUGCACAAAUUUGAUUUUUUACCAUCUACAUAAUGCAAAUAUUUACAGCAUCCUUAGAACAAACAGUGUAUCUUCAAAUUAGAUAAUUUCCUAUUUUCAUUUUUACAAAACCCUUCACCAUCAACAGUCACUUGAAAAGCUGCAUACAAAAAAAAAUCAAAUGAUUUUGACAGUAAAGGCAGUUUGCAUUCAAAUUAUCGCAAAAUCAUCUCGUCUUCAAAAUCAUACACAUAUUUUAAAAGUAAAUGUUAUUGUGUAAAAUUAAAAAAAGAAAA